RNAcentral lists this ribosomal RNA (167 nucleotides) under Coniosporium apollinis. RNAcentral describes it as "5.8S ribosomal RNA". It matches the Rfam family "5.8S ribosomal RNA". From Rfam's summary of the family: 5.8S ribosomal RNA (5.8S rRNA) is a component of the large subunit of the eukaryotic ribosome. It is transcribed by RNA polymerase I as part of the 45S precursor that also contains 18S and 28S rRNA. The record is from RNAcentral. Lineage: Eukaryota; Fungi; Ascomycota; Dothideomycetes.
AACUUAAUAAUUAAAACUUUCAACAACGGAUCUCUUGGUUCUGGCAUCGAUGAAGAACGCAGCGAAAUGCGAUAAGUAAUGUGAAUUGCAGAAUUCAGUGAAUCAUCGAAUCUUUGAACGCACAUUGCGCCCCCUGGUAUUCCGGGGGGCAUGCCUGUUCGAGCGUC